UCUGGGUGUGGUGGUGCACGCCUGUAGUCCCAGCUACUUGGGAGGCGAGGUGGGAGGAUCAUUUGAGCCUAGGAGGGUGAGGCUGCAGUGAGCUGUGAUUACACCACUGCACUCUGGCCUGGGCAACAGAGGGAGACCCUAUCUCAA
This is an unclassified non-coding RNA of Pongo abelii (Sumatran orangutan), 147 nucleotides long. It matches the Rfam family "Metazoan signal recognition particle RNA". Rfam says of the family: The signal recognition particle (SRP) is a universally conserved ribonucleoprotein. It is involved in the co-translational targeting of proteins to membranes. The record is from Ensembl. Lineage: Eukaryota; Metazoa; Chordata; Mammalia; Primates; Hominidae.